CCAAUAGCGUAUAUUAAAGUUGUUGCAGUUAAAAAGCUCGUAGUUGAAUUUCGGGACCAAUCUGCCGGUCGUGCCUCCGGUACGCACUGGUUUUAUUGGUUUCUCCCUUCUGACGAACCAUGAUGUCAUUAAUUUGGUGUCAUGGGGAAUCAGGACUGUUACUUUGAAAAAAUUAGAGUGUUUAUAGCAGGCUCACGCUUGAAUACAUUAGCAUGGAAUAAUGAAAUAGGACGUUUGACCCUAUUUUGUUGGUUUCUAGGAUCGACGUAAUGAUUAAUAGGGAUAGUUGGGGGCAUUAGUAUUCAAUUGUCAGAGGUGAAAUUCUUGGAUGUAUUGAAGACUAACUACUGCGAAAGCAUUUGCCAAGGAUGUUUUCAUUAAUCAAGAACGAAAGUUAGGGGAUCGAAGACGAUCAGAUACCGUCGUAGUCUUAACCAUAAACUAUGCCGACUAGGGAUCGGAUGAUGUUAAUUUUUUAAUGACUCAUUCGGCGCCUUACG
Molecule: unclassified non-coding RNA, 500 nt
Filed under: uncultured Glomus
Lineage: Eukaryota; Fungi; Glomeromycota; Glomeromycetes; Glomerales; Glomeraceae
Description: SSU rRNA
Rfam family: Eukaryotic small subunit ribosomal RNA
Source: RNAcentral